Molecule: ribosomal RNA, 445 nt
Filed under: uncultured bacterium
Lineage: Bacteria
Description: bacterial SSU rRNA
Rfam family: Bacterial small subunit ribosomal RNA
Source: RNAcentral
GAAUAUUGGACAAUGGGCGGAAGCCUGAUCCAGCCAUGCCGCGUGUGUGAAGAAGGCCUUUUGGUUGUAAAGCACUUUAAGCGAGAAGGAGGCUACCUGGAUUAAUACUCUAGGAUAGUGGACGUUACUCGCAGAAUAAGCACCGGCUAACUCUGUGCCAGCAGCCGCGGUAAUACAGAGGGUGCGAGCGUUAAUCGGAUUUACUGGGCGUAAAGCGUGCGUAGGCGGCUGAUUAAGUCGGAUGUGAAAUCCCUGAGCUUAACUUAGGAAUUGCAUUCGAUACUGGUCAGCUAGAGUAUGGGAGAGGAUGGUAGAAUUCCAGGUGUAGCGGUGAAAUGCGUAGAGAUCUGGAGGAAUACCGAUGGCGAAGGCAGCCAUCUGGCCUAAUACUGACGCUGAGGUACGAAAGCAUGGGGAGCAAACAGGAUUAGAUACCCCUGUAGUC